AACACAUGGAGAGGAAGUUUGCAGUGGUGCGGUGGAGUGAAGGGGAGGAUUUUGGGAAGCUCAGUGACAUAAAAACUGAUGCCAAAAGGGGGUAUGAUGAUUCCAAGAUGGACCAGGAUGGGAAUCCCUUUGCCACCUACUCAGCCGUAAUUGAAUGGCGCCAUGGGAGGAAACAAUGAGGAGGCUGGCCUCACUACAGAGGCACUGUCAUUUUUGUUGGUGCUACUCGUUUUGAGACAAUCCGUAAACUGAACUCACUGCUGAAGGAAGAAGAACCUACAGAGCUGACAAAGAGGGCCUCAGUGGCCCCCCAAAAAUAUGGGGACGAUUCAGAUUGCUAAACUGAUAUUGAAACUCAGUCUCAGCAAGCAAAGAAGUCAAAGGCUCCCAGGAGGAUAGACCCUGCAGAAGAGUUUCUUAGGCUAUACGGUCAAUCACAGCCUUCUUCAGAUAAUCACAACAGUCCGACUCAGACUGUGGCUGAAUUAAAGCAGGAGAUCAAGGACCUGAAAGAAGAGAACGCGAAGUUGAAGGAGAUUGUUCUUCAAGGUAUCAUUGAUUCAUAUCAAAUACUGAACCAUCAGACAAGUAAUAAACCUUUCUCUAAAUGACUGUAGGCUGAAUUGGCUGUAUUGUCCUAAAGGAGUGAUAAUAAUAAAUUAUUUGUUUUUGAUGAACUGUGUCUAGAUGUGCCAGGACUCCUACUGAGUUUGAGGAAUAUAAUAGAUUCGGCUGCACCUCCUAAGAGAUCCAGGGUGGAGCCUACCAAAGCAUUACCGGCCCUUCCAGGGUCUCCGCAGUCCAGGUCCAGUUCUCCAUGUGCCACUUCGCUGUCCCUCCCCAGAUCUACGCUGUCCAGUUCCACAUCUGUGUCUCCAUCCCUGACUGCCUCCCAGUCUUCUAAGGUUGAGAUCCAUCCUGGGAUCGGAGUCAUGGUUGAGAAACUGGCGUGGGCCUAUGCCAUCAAUGCCAAUUCGGCAACAGUCUUUGUGAGACAUCUGCUCACUGCAGUCUUUCCAGUGGAAAUACUGCUGGUGCAACUCUUGAGAAGUGGCCUGGGACCCAGCUUUCCAGCAUUGGAAGUACGAUCAAUGCCAAGAUUACAGAACUCUGGUCAAAAAGUAAAAAUGCUGGUGUGUACACAGCUCCACAUUAAACUGUUUUGUUUGCUCUGA
This is a long non-coding RNA of Cyprinus carpio carpio, 1175 nucleotides long. NCBI's taxonomy places the organism in Eukaryota, Metazoa, Chordata, Actinopteri, Cypriniformes, Cyprinidae. The record is from Ensembl.